RNAcentral lists this long non-coding RNA (382 nucleotides) under Panicum hallii. RNAcentral describes it as "long non-coding RNA (PHAL_LNC000937)". The record is from RNAcentral. Lineage: Eukaryota; Viridiplantae; Streptophyta; Magnoliopsida; Poales; Poaceae.
CGCGAGAGCAAGCUCGAUUGAUGGAUGCGUCGGAGGCCAGCGGAAUAGCAUCGAAAAGAAGCAGGUCCAUUGGAUCUUAGCCUAAGGGACCUCUGUCGCGAGGUAAGUAACUGAUUUGUUGGGGUUUUCUUUCCCUUUUUCAUGGCUGACGCUUUUGCAGCCUUGCGGCACCACCAAUUGGCCGUGAAGAAGCUGCGGAGGUGGAGCAUUCUGGAACAGCGAUGGAAUUUUGCUACUUAAAUGCAUAGCGUAGAGCUCUUUUGGAUGCAAAUCUGCUUUAUUUAUUCUUGUGCUACCUGUGUAAACCAAGACAUGAAAAUAUAUGUGAUGAACUGAUGUCUAAUUGAGGCUUUUUUUUUCUUGAUCAAGAAUCCUUUUUCAA